This 468-nucleotide ribosomal RNA is filed under the name uncultured bacterium. RNAcentral describes it as "partial 16S ribosomal RNA". It matches the Rfam family "Bacterial small subunit ribosomal RNA", at positions 28 to 507 of the family's 1533-position model. The record is from RNAcentral.
GACGAACGCUGGCGGCGUGCUUAACACAUGCAAGUCGAACGGAAAGGCCCUGCUUUUGUGGGGUGCUCGAGUGGCGAACGGGUGAGCAACACGUGAGUAACCUGCCCUUGACUUUGGGAUAACUUCAGGAAAUUGGGGCUAAUACCGGAUAGGAGCUCCUGCUGCAUGGUGGGGGUUGGAAAGUUUCGGCGGUUGGGGAUGGACUCGCGGCUUAUCAGCUUGUUGGUGGGGUAGUGGCUUACCAAGGCUUUGACGGGUAGCCGGCCUGAGAGGGUGACCGGCCACAUUGGGACUGAGAUACGGCCCAGACUCCUACGGGAGGCAGCAGUGGGGAAUAUUGCACAAUGGGCGGAAGCCUGAUGCAGCAACGCCGCGUGCGGGAUGACGGCCUUCGGGUUGUAAACCGCUUUCGCCUGUGACGAAGCGUGAGUGACGGUAAUGGGUAAAGAAGCACCGGCUAACUACGUG